AAAAUCUUGCAUCUUGCAGCUGCACUACGAUUUCUACGAAAAUUAUACGACAUCUGAUACUUCUUUAUACUACAUUUUCGGGAUAUCGCUCUCGCAGAUAAUAUUGUUUUUUUUUUGUUCCCUUGAUAUAAUUUAAAGUAAUCAAACGAGAAGAAAAAGACUAAUAAGUACUCGUUAAAAAUGCGAUAAGUGAAUUAUCAUUUAUCUUUAAUAGAGAGAAAUAUUCUAUACAAAUACAUGCUAUAUAAUUCCACACAACAUUCAUUAAAUAUUCAGAAUUAAAUAUUGUAUAGAUGCAAUUUGCAGCCACGUCAUAUUCCCGAAUAAAAAAAGAUACAAUUUAA
RNAcentral lists this long non-coding RNA (344 nucleotides) under Polistes fuscatus (common paper wasp). RNAcentral's name for it is "uncharacterized LOC122516761". Lineage: Eukaryota; Metazoa; Arthropoda; Insecta; Hymenoptera; Vespidae. The record is from RNAcentral.